GACAAGCUGUGGGAAAUUCUGGACUUCAUCCUAAUGGCUUUGAAUGACAUCUUCUCUUUAAGUGUUCCUUGCUUCUUUCCUUCCUUCCUUCUCUCCAAUGCUGAAUGUUUCUUCCUCAUCCUAAUGGCUUUGAAUGGUAUUUUCUCUUAAAGUGUUCAUUCGUUUGUUCGUUCAUUCGUUCGUUCCUUCCUUCCUUCCUUCCUUCCUUCCCUCCCUCCCUUCCUUUUCCCCAAUGCUGAAUGUUCCUUCCUCAUGCUUGAAUCUGAAGUAAAGUGCUGAACCAAAGUGCUGCAGAUCUGGAGUGUGCAUUCUCUGCACUGUGCCUAUCACCCACUAGCUGCCUCGGCACCGUGGCUUACUUUUUGAUGUUCUAUGGGAUUAUAGCCCCCAUGACUGGGAGCACUUCUCACACACCAGCUCCUGAUAUCUGCCAGAUGAUUCUAUCUGAUUAAGUGGUAGUGAAGCUUUGACUCAUCAUCUGAUGGAGCACUACAAGGGGCUUCUGAAGAACUUGAACAGCCACCAUUUUAGUCAUGAUGAAGACGGUACAAACUCUGAUUCCCUCAGCGACAAAUAUCCACGCAUCUUGCUGGCUCUGCAGAUCCAAGUAGAAGAAUUUGCUAAUCAAGUGGGCAUUCUACACCUUAGCCAAGUGCUCAUCUGCACAGUUCAG
This is a long non-coding RNA of Prionailurus viverrinus (fishing cat), 673 nucleotides long. RefSeq lists it as uncharacterized. The record is from RefSeq and is a predicted model, not a curated record. The transcript has 4 exons. Lineage: Eukaryota; Metazoa; Chordata; Mammalia; Carnivora; Felidae.